CUUUGGUCGUCCAGCCUUAGGUGACUUUUCCGAUCAUAAAGCUAGACAACCAUUGAA
Molecule: microRNA precursor, 57 nt
Filed under: Drosophila simulans
Lineage: Eukaryota; Metazoa; Arthropoda; Insecta; Diptera; Drosophilidae
Description: Dsi-Mir-9-P9_pre stem-loop
Source: RNAcentral